This 221-nucleotide ribosomal RNA is filed under the name uncultured Pseudomonadales bacterium. RNAcentral describes it as "partial 16S ribosomal RNA". It matches the Rfam family "Bacterial small subunit ribosomal RNA", at positions 107 to 334 of the family's 1533-position model. The record is from RNAcentral. Lineage: Bacteria; Pseudomonadati; Pseudomonadota; Gammaproteobacteria; Pseudomonadales.
UGGAGUAAUGCUUAGGGAUCUGCCUAGUAGUGGUGGGAUAACUUGGGGAAACCCAAGCUAAUACCGCAUACGACCUACGGGUGAAAGGGGGCUUUUAGCUCUCGCUAUUAGAUGAGCCUAAGUCGGAUUAGCUGGUUGGUGGGGUAAAGGCCUACCAAGGCGACGAUCUGUAGCUGGUCUGAGAGGAUGAUCAGCCACACUGGGACUGAGACACGGCCCAG